UACGUAGGGUGCAAGCGUUAAUCGGAAUUACUGGGCGUAAAGCGUGCGCAGGCGGUUUUGUAAGUCUGUCGUGAAAUCCCCGGGCUCAACCUGGGAAUGGCGAUGGAGACUGCAAGGCUAGAAUCUGGCAGAGGGGGGUAGAAUUCCACGUGUAGCAGUGAAAUGCGUAGAGAUGUGGAGGAACACCGAUGGCGAAGGCAGCCCCCUGGGUCAAGAUUGACGCUCAUGCACGAAAGCGUGGGGAGCAAACAGG
This 253-nucleotide ribosomal RNA is filed under the name uncultured bacterium. RNAcentral describes it as "partial 16S ribosomal RNA". It matches the Rfam family "Bacterial small subunit ribosomal RNA", at positions 524 to 776 of the family's 1533-position model. The record is from RNAcentral. RNAcentral also lists the same sequence under 1 other name.